CCCUUAGAUGUCCUGGGCCGCACGCGUGCUACACUGACGCAUACAGCGAGCACUUUCCAGUUCCGAGAGGCUACUGGUAAUCAUCAAUAUGCGUCGUGAUGGGGAUAGAUCUUUGGAAUUCUGGAUCUUGAACGAGGAAUGCCUAGUAAUCGCAGGUCAUUAGCAUGCGAUGAUUAAGUCCCUGCCCUUUGUACACACCGCCCGUCGCUACUACCGAUUUCGAGUGGUCAGGUGAAUCUUUCGGACUGUGGGCGCCCUUGAGGUGUUCGCGGAAAGUCAGGUAAAUCUUAUCACUUAGAGGAAGUAAAAGUCGUAACA
RNAcentral lists this ribosomal RNA (318 nucleotides) under uncultured eukaryote. RNAcentral describes it as "partial 18S ribosomal RNA". It matches the Rfam family "Eukaryotic small subunit ribosomal RNA", at positions 1470 to 1796 of the family's 1831-position model. The record is from RNAcentral.